Portunus trituberculatus (swimming crab) is the source of this 271-nucleotide long non-coding RNA. RefSeq lists it as uncharacterized. The transcript is spliced from 2 exons. The record is from RefSeq and is a predicted model, not a curated record. NCBI's taxonomy places the organism in Eukaryota, Metazoa, Arthropoda, Malacostraca, Decapoda, Portunidae.
CCUCCUCCUCCUCCUCCUCCUCCUCCUCCUCCUCCUCCUCCUCCUCCUCCUCCAUGAUCGCCAUUGUUGUCUCAGUAGUACUAAAUAGGAGAAUUGGUGGAGGUAGGCAUAAAUUGGUUUUAAGUAGGGCCUGGUUACACACACACACACACACACACACACACACACACACACACACACACACACACACACACACACACACACACACACACACACACACACACACACACACACACACACACACACACACACACACACACACACACACACA